RNAcentral lists this ribosomal RNA (526 nucleotides) under Ateleute sp. 1 BFS-2018. Its description in RNAcentral is "partial 16S large subunit ribosomal RNA". The stretch from base 389 to 526 matches the Rfam family "Archaeal large subunit ribosomal RNA", at positions 2544 to 2681 of the family's 2987-position model. The record is from RNAcentral. Lineage: Eukaryota; Metazoa; Arthropoda; Insecta; Hymenoptera; Ichneumonidae.
AAACAUCUYUUUUUGAAUAUAAUUUAAAGUUUAAUCUGCUCAAUGAUUUAUUAAAUAGCUGCAGUAAUAUAACUGUACAAAGGUAGCAUAAUCAAUAGUUUUUUAAUUGAAAGCUGGAAUGAAGGAUUGGAUGAAAUAAUAAUUGUCUCAAAUUUAAUAAAAUUAGAAUUUUUUUUUUAGUUAAAAAGCUAAAUUGAUUUUAAAAGACGAGAAGACCCUAUAGAUUUUUAUAAUUUGUAUAUAUAAUAAUAAUAAUAUAAUUUUUAAUUAAUUAUAUAAAUUAUUUAAUUGGGGAAAUUAUUAAAUUUAAUAAAUUUUAAUUUUUAUUAAACAAAAAUUAUUGAAUAAAUGAUCUUAAAUAUAGAUAAUAAGAAUAAAAUACCUUAGGGAUAACAGCAUAAUAUUUUUAGAAAGAUCAUAUUAAUAAAAAUGUUUGUGACCUCGAUGUUGAAUUAAAAUAAAAUUAUAAUGAAGAGAUUAUAAAUUUUUGGUCUGUUCGACCAUUAAAAUUUUACAUGAUCUGAGU